AGGACGAACGCUGGCGGCGCGCCUAAAACAUGCAAGUCGAACGAGAAACCCGGGCUUGCCCGGGUGGACAGUGGCGAACGGGUGAGUAACACGUGAGGAACCUGCCCCGAAGACCGGGACAACACCGGGAAACCGGUGCUAAUACCGGAUACCUUCACCGGAUCGCAUGGUCUGGUGAAGAAAUGGAUUCCGCUUCGGGAUGGCCUCGCGGCCUAUCAGCUAGUUGGUGAGGUAACGGCUCACCAAGGCGACGACGGGUAACUGGUCUGAGAGGAUGUCCAGCCACACUGGGACUGAGACACGGCCCAGACUCCUACGGGAGGCAGCAGUUAGGAAUCUUGCGCAAUGGACGAAAGUCUGACGCAGCGACGCCGCGUGCGGGAUGAAGGCCUUCGGGUUGUAAACCGCUUUCAGCAGGGACGAAUUGACGGUACCUGCAGAAGAGCCCGGCCAACUACGUGCCAGCAGCCGC
This 472-nucleotide ribosomal RNA is filed under the name uncultured bacterium. RNAcentral's name for it is "SSU rRNA". It matches the Rfam family "Bacterial small subunit ribosomal RNA", at positions 26 to 518 of the family's 1533-position model. The record is from RNAcentral.